This 206-nucleotide ribosomal RNA is filed under the name uncultured bacterium. RNAcentral's name for it is "partial 16S ribosomal RNA". It matches the Rfam family "Bacterial small subunit ribosomal RNA", at positions 568 to 774 of the family's 1533-position model. The record is from RNAcentral.
CGCGUAGGCGGCCGUGUAAGUCACUUGUGAAAUCCCGGGGCUCAACUCCGGGGCUGCAGGUGAGACUGCAUGGCUAGAGCACGGUAGAGGCGAGUGGAAUUCCCGGUGUAGCGGUGGAAUGCGUAGAUAUCGGGAAGAACACCGGUGGCGAAGGCGGCUCGCUGGGCCGUUGCUGACGCUGAGGCGCGAAAGCGUGGGAGCAAACA